Molecule: ribosomal RNA, 116 nt
Filed under: uncultured bacterium
Lineage: Bacteria
Description: partial 16S ribosomal RNA
Rfam family: Bacterial small subunit ribosomal RNA
Source: RNAcentral
UACGGUGAAUACGUUCCCGGACCUUGCACACACCGCCCGUCAAGCCAUGGAAGCCGGGUGUACCUAAAGUCGGUAACCGCAAGGAGUCGCCUAGGGUAAAACUGGUAACUGGGGCU